RNAcentral lists this ribosomal RNA (253 nucleotides) under uncultured bacterium. Its description in RNAcentral is "partial 16S ribosomal RNA". It matches the Rfam family "Bacterial small subunit ribosomal RNA", at positions 524 to 776 of the family's 1533-position model. The record is from RNAcentral.
UACGAAGGGUGCAAGCGUUACUCGGGAUUACUGGGCGUAAAGCGUGCGUAGGUGGUUUGUUAAGUCUGAUGUGAAAGCCCUGGGCUCAACCUGGGAAUUGCAUUGGAUACUGGCAGGCUAGAGUGCGGUAGAGGAUGGCGGAAUUCCCGGUGUAGCAGUGAAAUGCGUAGAGAUCGGGAGGAACAUCUGUGGCGAAGGCGGCCAUCUGGACCAGCACUGACACUUAACUACGAAAGCGUGGGGAGCAAACAGG